UUUUUUAUUUUUAAUUGUUAAAUAUACUUCUGAAAUAUGUUCUACUGUAAAAAAGUGGCUUGCGGAAUUACUAUUUAUUUUUAGUUUGAUAAUGUUUAAAAAGUUUUGUCCUAUGAAGCUUACAAUCGAAACGAUACCAAUACAACUUCUGGUCAAACGUUUUCAGUACUAUGCUUUAAAAAUAAUAAAUAUUGAGUCAUUUAAACUCAUUUUUUUCUCUGUCUAUGCGAAAAAUGCUGUUUUAUAUCAUUUGAGACCACAGUUAUGACGGGGCAUGAGAAAUAAAGUUGUAUCAAGUUAUCUUUAAAUUUUAAAUAAAUGAUAUUUUACAAAGCUCAAUUGGUCAAGAAACUAUGUUUCGAGCUUUUAACCGGUCAAAUUCCUAUUACACAACAAAAUAUAGAAGAGCAAUGCGUAGAAGGCGAUAGAGUAUGACCCACGUGCGCUCCCCGUUGUUAGCUGUUGAGCAGAAUGGAUUUAAAAUUUUCGUAAAUUAAUUUUCUUUUACCUAUGUUAGCUUUCCAACCACGCCUAAAAGGGAUGCCACAUUAAGGGGACAGGAAAUCAUUUAAGUGAUCAAUAGGGGUGCUUGGUAAGCCGUUCCUAAAUGGUGAUAGCAUUGCUAACCGAGGCUCAAGACGGAAGUCUCAAUAUGCGCAAACUCCGCCCGUCCGUAAUGACGCGUAGUAGCUUGUUUGUAUCUCACUAGAAGAGAGAAAACGCUUUUGCGGUGAGUCGAAGUUCCGUCAUAACUGGUCGGAUACAUGCUUGCUGCGCAUCGAUAGUUUGCUCUGAGACAAAAUAAAGAGUAUAAAGUUUGGGUCUCCGC
Zophobas morio is the source of this 829-nucleotide long non-coding RNA. RefSeq lists it as uncharacterized. The record is from RefSeq and is a predicted model, not a curated record. The transcript is spliced from 5 exons. NCBI's taxonomy places the organism in Eukaryota, Metazoa, Arthropoda, Insecta, Coleoptera, Tenebrionidae.